UCACUCCGGAAACCACGGCCUAGACCACGACAGUCACUCCGGAAACCCACGGCCUAGACCACGACAGUCACUCCGGAAACCACGGCCUAGACCACGACAGUCACUCCCGAAUCCACGGCCUAGACCACGACAGUCACUCCCGAAUCCACCGUCUAGACCACGGCCUAGACCACGACAGUCACUCCCGAAUCCACCGUCUAGACCACGACAGUCACUCCCGAAUCCACCGUCUAGACCACGACAGGCAUUCCGGAAUCCACCGUCUAGACCACGACAGUCACUCCCGAAUCCACCGUCUAGACCACGACAGUCACUCCCGAAUCCACCGUCUAGACCACGACAGGCAUUCCGGAAUCCACCGUCUAGACCACGACAGUCACUCCGGAAUGUCAUCGUCCAUUCUAGAACACAGCUCUCACUCCGGAAUUAACCGUCCAUCGUAGAACACAGCUUUUGCUUCUGGAAUCCACCGACUGUUCUAGAACCCAGCCGUCACUCCGUAAUCCAGACUUGGAACACCGCUCUCAUGCCAGAAUUAACCGUCCUUCCUAGGACACGGUUGUGGGCGGAGCCUGUGGACAGAUGAUCUUUAACGAGCACUUUCUUCUCCUGCUGCUGGACGAGCUGAUACUGUAGUUUAUCGCCAUUGGUUAAGAGAAAAGCUCGACUUUUGCGCACCAAAAACGUUGUUAUAUUUAAUGAGAUUUUAUUUUUUAAGUGGGAAAAAAAAGAAAAAAAAGAGAGAGAAGUUUAGUUUAGUUUAUAAAUCACCGUUUCUGGACGUUUCUGUUCUCCGCUGGCGUGUCAGGGUCUUUAAAGCGAGAUGUAUUAAAGGCUUUUAGUACAGUCCGAUCAAGCCUUGGAACAAAACAAGGCCUUCUCUCAGUCCAGUGACAUGUGGGCUGGAAUCCCUGAAUAACACACACACACACACACACACACACACACACACACACACACACACACACACACACACACACUUUGGAGCAGGUAAAGCAGUCGAAGCCUCCAUUAUUUAAAAAAUAAAUCUGACCUUUUUGGAGAAAACUACAAAAAGACAGGAAAUGAUCCGUGGUGUGUUCCAUUACAGCCGCGUUCACACCAGCGAGCUCGGUUUUUAUUUUAAAUCCGUAACGUUAAUGCAAUAACGCGACGAUCCAGAUUUAUUCUUUUCCUCAGAGCGAAAUAUAACAAAAUAAAAUAAAAAAGGUACUUCAAUAAUAACAUGCUCUCAUAAAAAAAAAAGAAAACCUCCUAUUUGUUAUUGGAACUUACAGACCACGCCCACAAGAGACGACAUCCACCGUCGUUCCACACCCCCAGGAGACGGACCCGCUGCACGGCCGCUCGUCCUGCUCGCUAGUGUGAAUGCACGCUAACGUAUUAAAAAAAAAAAAAAAAUUAGAGGCUUCACGCAAUCCUAUCCCCAAAAACGAUACGACCCCCCCCCCCCCCGCCGUUUUCUACGAUAUUUCAUUUCGAUAGAUGACGCCAUUAGCGCAUGUCUACACCGCUGGAUCUGGCUGCGUACUUCAUGUACGGGGUCGUAAUCAUCCGCUUAAACUUGCCUCUUCGAUACGUCCCAUCAAAU
Long non-coding RNA from Ictalurus punctatus (channel catfish), 1591 nucleotides. NCBI's taxonomy places the organism in Eukaryota, Metazoa, Chordata, Actinopteri, Siluriformes, Ictaluridae. The record is from Ensembl.